Molecule: ribosomal RNA, 256 nt
Filed under: uncultured bacterium
Lineage: Bacteria
Description: partial 16S ribosomal RNA
Rfam family: Bacterial small subunit ribosomal RNA
Source: RNAcentral
UACGUAGGGUGCGAGCGUUGUCCGGAAUUAUUGGGCGUAAAGGGCUCGUAGGCGGUCUGUCGCGUCGGGAGUGAAAACUCAGGGCUUAACCCUGAGCUUGCAGUGGGUACGGGCAGGCUAGAGUCCGGCAGGGGGAGACUGGAAUUCCUGGUGUAGCGGUGAAAUGCGCAGAUAUCAGGAGGAACACCGGUGGCGAAGGCGGGGUCUCUGGGGCCGGAACUGACGCUAAGGAGCGAAAGCGUGGGGAGCGAACAGG